Molecule: non-coding RNA, 227 nt
Organism: Pelobates cultripes (western spadefoot toad)
Lineage: Eukaryota; Metazoa; Chordata; Amphibia; Anura; Pelobatidae
Source: the annotation of a GenBank genome assembly
CUCCCUCUCUCAGGAUCUGUACUUCAUUUCUUCCUGUAUGCUCUAGUUUUCUUUAAAACAUAAGACAAAGUAGGGACUAUUUCUCUUCUGGAGGUUUCCUACGCCAUGACCAGCUAUGACCAGCGGAGGAGCAAAGUGUGUCUCUUUUCCGGUGGUCAGAGCAAUUUUCCCAUGAUCCUUUGCUUUCCUCCCUGUUCUCACGAUGCCUUCUGUCAGUAUUGCCGAAC